RNAcentral lists this ribosomal RNA (426 nucleotides) under uncultured bacterium. RNAcentral describes it as "bacterial SSU rRNA". It matches the Rfam family "Bacterial small subunit ribosomal RNA", at positions 359 to 777 of the family's 1533-position model. The record is from RNAcentral.
GAAUAUUGGACAAUGGGCGCAAGCCUGAUCCAGCGACGCCGCGUGGGUGAAGAAGGCCUGCGGGUUGUAAAGCCCUUUCGGUAGGGACGAAAACCUUCGACUUAACACGUCGAGGGAUUGACUUAACCUACAUAAGAAGCACCGGCUAACUCUGUGCCAGCAGCCGCGGUAAUACAGAGGGUGCGAGCGUUAAUCGGAAUUACUGGGCGUAAAGCGCACGUAGGCGGCUCUGCAAGUCGGUUGUGAAAUCCCCGGGCUCAACCUGGGAACUGCGACCGAGACUGCAUUGCUAGAGUAUGGGAGAGGAAAGCGGAAUUUCUGGUGUAGCAGUGAAAUGCGUAGAUAUCAGAAGGAACAUCAGUGGCGAAGGCGGCUUUCUGGACCAAUACUGACGCUCAGGUGCGAAAGCGUGGGGAGCAAACAGGA